This 1029-nucleotide long non-coding RNA is filed under the name Ananas comosus (pineapple). Its description in RNAcentral is "long non-coding RNA (ACOM_LNC008499)". Lineage: Eukaryota; Viridiplantae; Streptophyta; Magnoliopsida; Poales; Bromeliaceae. The record is from RNAcentral.
AUAAAAUUUUAUAUUAUAUUGUGCCGUAAUUUUAAAUAGAGGCAAUUGCUUAUAUACUCCUGAAAAAUAUCCGACUUUUCGAUUUACCCCUCUUAGAAGGCUAAUAUUGAAAGUACAUUUUCUAUGUUCCAACCUAUUUCUAAUAUAUCCUUAGAGUUAAAAUCUGUUAAUGAACUCUAUUAUCUUUGUAAAAUUACUAUUUUGCCCUUUAAAAUAUACCCUUCCAUUAUCACUGACUUUUUUAUUUGCCCUUAAAGUCAGGGGUACAAAAAGUAUUUUGACUUUUGGUCUUUUCCAAUAUACCCCUCUACCGUCACCAACAUUUCUUAUUUGCCCUUAAGUUAAGGACAAAAUUGACAUUUUAAUUUUUUUAAACUGUGGUAGAUGUUUAACUCACGUUUAACCCAGGUUAACUUAACAGGAGAUAACUGCGAGGGUAUUUUAUAAUAACGGUGGAACAUAUGAGGGGUAUUUUAGAAAGAAAAGAAAAAGGGAUAAAUCAGAUAUUUUCAAAUGUAUGAAAGGUAUAUAGGCAAUUAUCUUUUUUAAAUAGUAUGACUUUGUUAUUCUAAUAAGAGACUGUACUGCAGUUGUAACUGCAUGCAAAUACAAAUUCAGUGUUUGGUUUGAUAUAUUUAACUCCAACUGCUGCAAUAGAAAUUGCAACAGUUGGAACCGUAUCUAAAUUGGCUGCAGUUUUAACUGCAGCAAUUAAAGAAAGUAGCUUUAAAUAAAAAGUACGCUCACCUCCUUAAUUACUUUUCAAACAAUUUUUUUUCUUUUUUUUUUUAUAUUGGAGGUAAUCUCACCAUCAUAUAUAUAAAAUAAUAAAUUUUUUUUAAAAAUUAUUUCUCAACUGCAUGCAACCAAACAAAUUAUUUAUGAUUAUAGCGCUUUAUACUACAUCCAACCAUAACUAUUGCUAUAUCUUUAACUUUAUUUAUCUUCAACUAUACUACAUUUAUAAUUACAUCUAACCAAACAACCCUUUAGUGUAUGUCCGUAGAGAAAAAUAAAAAUAAAAUUUAA